CAGCAGCCGCGGUAAUACGAAGGGCGCAAGCGUUAAUCGGAAUUACUGGGCGUAAAGCGUGCGUAGGCGGUGAGUUAAGUCUGCUGUGAAAUCCCCGGGCUCAACCUGGGAAUGGCAGUGGAUACUGGCUCGCUAGAGUGUGUCAGAGGAUGGUGGAAUUCCCGGUGUAGCGGUGAAAUGCGUAGAGAUCGGGAGGAACAUCAGUGGCGAAGGCGGCCAUCUGGGACAACACUGACGCUGAGGCACGAAAGCGUGGGGAGCAAACAGGAUUAGAUACCCCCGUAGUCCCUGUCUCUUAUAC
Molecule: ribosomal RNA, 301 nt
Filed under: uncultured bacterium
Lineage: Bacteria
Description: partial 16S ribosomal RNA
Rfam family: Bacterial small subunit ribosomal RNA
Source: RNAcentral